AAACAAAAUCAACGAAAAAAAAUCACAGCAGAAAGGGGCAAAGGGAGCAAAACUGCAAUAAAAGGGUCUGCGGCGGAAGGGUGAGGAAGUGGAGAGGAAGAGCGAUCGCAAUGGGUAAUGGUCGGGUCGGGUCGGCGUUGGCGUUGGCGGGGCGCAGCGUGUGAAAAGACGACAGCAACAGCAACAGCAGCACCAACAACAACAACUACGGCAGCAGCAGCAGCAACGGCUGCGGCAGCAACAACAACGACGACAGUAUGUCUGGCAGCGUAGCAUGAACUGGCGACAUUCUGUCUGGUAGCGAUCACAGUGCAGCGUUGCCGAACUUCAGGGCCCGCUCUCACUAUGUUGGUGGGGUACCUGUCUAUGGUGUGCUCUCUUUAUCUCAGCCUCUCUCUGUGGGACACGAACACAAACACAAACACAGUCGCUCUCGCAGAGACGGAAACGAACAAAAGAACGAACGAGCGAGCGAGCGGCAGACAGAGCGACGACUGAGAAUGAACUUCAAGCUGGAUGAACGCUACCCCCGACUCCCCCACCAACGUGCCAGGCAGAACAUCGAACGAGUUCUAGCAUUCAUUCGGCGUCAGAUAAAUGAAUCUCUCUCUCUCUCACACACACACAAGCAUGCACGCUGCGGAAACUGCUUUUUGGCGCUUGCUGCCCCACGUCGGCCCCAUAGCC
RNAcentral lists this long non-coding RNA (687 nucleotides) under Drosophila guanche. The record is from RNAcentral. Lineage: Eukaryota; Metazoa; Arthropoda; Insecta; Diptera; Drosophilidae.